GGUGGUUGGAAGGCGGGGGAAGUCGCUGCUCAUAAGCGCUCGAACGUGCUGUAUUGGAGUUGUGUGUGUGUGUGUGUGUGUGUUGCGGCCACGUGUGAACGGGGCUCUCGGAGAUCACUGGGGGGCUCCGGGCCGCCCGCUGGUAACCGCUCACCGGGGAUGCUCGGGGAGAGUGGUGCUCUCUGCAAAAUGACUAUGUUAUGAGUGAGUUUGAUAAGAGUCACCAUGGUGAGGAAAGGAAUAAUGGAUUUUCAGUCAUGGCUUCUUUCUUCCCCUGGAGAGCAAUGAGUCUGUUUCCCUUUUCCAAUAACAGCUUUAUUACAGCAUGUAAAAGGGAAACAAGAAGAUGAACAGACUGGACCUGGCUGUGCAGAGAUCACUCUUCUAAGGAGCCUGUGUGGGGAGAUGCUGGCCUGGGAGUCAAUGUGAGGAAAAGCAGAAGAUAUUUACCAAGUAGCUUUAUAUCUGAAGUAUUAUUCAAGGGAGGUCGCUCUAGAAGACGAGAGAACUUUCGGUACAUGAUGAAUAUAAAGCUCUAAGAAUUGGUGCUGAAGGAAAGUUUCUCAAAAGUGCAUUUAGUCUUUGAUACCUUUGGUGAUACGUGCUGCUUCAUCUACCAUCUCUGGGCAUCAGCCAGCCCAGUGUUUCAGGCUGUACCGGAUGGCAGUACUCCUUUGUUUUUGUAAUGUAUGUCUCCUUCACUGAGAAAGAAGCUGAAAGAUCGACUUUGCCAUCAUGUUGCUGCACUGUAAAUUUUACUAUUAAAGUAAGGUGUAAAGGUAUCCUAAAUCCAUGUGAUGGCUCACACCAGACCUGUCAGGAGCUCUUUGAUUAGAUGGACAACCGUAACAUUUUGACUGGGGUAUGGAAGUGGGGAGUAGCUGAUCCUGAAAUACUGGGCAAGAUUGCAUGAAGUUGGAAACUCACUCCUAUUACAGAAAAAAAAUGGAAAACUCCGAAUCUUCAGAAUGAAUUGGAUUUUUAUCUUCAUGUUCUGCCCAUAUUUGAUGUGGGAGUUGAAAUCAAAAUCCAAAUGAUAUUUCCAAAUUUAGGGGUCAUUUGAAGUACCUUUCCAUCUUCCUACCACAGUUUUUUCUAAGGCUCAUUGACAUCUAAUGAUAAUAAGGUCUUUCAUUACAGAAUCACAAAAUACUCGGCCUGUGGCCUUAUGUUUGAUUAAUAUUUGUUUGAUAAUCAUAGGUAAAUUAAUUUCCAUUGUUUCUGUUUAAUUCUAUACGAGAUUGUAAGAUACAACUAGAGAAAAACAUGGAGAGCCAUGAGUAAAUGUUGCUCAUACAAAAUGUUUCUAUUACCCUUUACUUUUCAAACCAUUAAUAGAUUAUUAGGAGAUAUAAACACAGGAGACCAUGGAUCAUAUUUGCAUAUUAAUGAAAUCCAUGAAUUAUACAUUAUUUGCUAUAGAGAGUACUAGGAACAGUAUUCCUUCUUUUUUAAUGGCUAUAAAAGCUGGUGGUUUCCUGGAGCACACAUCAUAUCCCCUCUGCAGUACCUUCUAAUAGAAGCAAGCAAGCCAGCUCUUCAAAGCAAUCUCUCACUAAAUGAAAUAGAUUUGUUUGUGUUGCUUUGCAACACACAAGUGUGACAGUUCAUUUUAAACAACGUAGUUUUAAUAAUGUCAUUACUAAUAUCUGUUUGGUCAUCUCUCUGAAAAAUGGCGUUUUAAUGGGAAUGUUUCAUUUUAAUAAAUGGCAGAAGAGGCAAGCUGCCCUGAGUCAGCAGGAAGUGGAUAUACACCAGAGAACAGGCUGAUUGUGUUAGAUUCAUCCAGAACAUUGAACAGCACACAGACAGUCCAAGAAAAAGCAACUGGCUUUAUUCAAAUGAUUAGUCUUGCUGCUACACUGUAGCGCAGAUUCACACAUUCUUCUAUUAUUCCUUGACCUUGUGCCAAAAACUCCCACUUGAAGUAAUAAUUAGAAUUAGUGUUUCCAGUGCAUGCUUCCAUCUUCCUAACAAACAGUAAUGAAAUGUGGCUUUUACAAAAUAUGCAGAUAAUUAAACUUUUUUAAAACAUUGGUUGAUUAAUACAGUUCCUCUGUGCCAUCCCCUUGCUGUGCCCAACACCUUCUACCUGAUAUUGGCAAAUCAGAAGAAAAGCACUGUCAGUGAGAUGAAAGACAGUUCAGAAGUUUGCACUUCAAUAUCGGUUAUAUAUAUUCUAUUUUCUUUCUUAUUUUGACUCUGUCUAGGGAUAAACUGGAAAGAUGGACAUUAUUUGUAAUCACAGAUUUUUAAGCCCAGGAUAGUGUGCGCAUUAUAUAACUACUCUAAACAUACCCUCAGCAUGGAUAUGAAGAACACAUAUAUCAAGUGCUACAAGAUGAUGAGGCAGGAAGCAAGUUACAUCUUGGAGAAAUUGCCCUCAGGAGAGAGGAAAAACUGUUGCGAGGUUGACAGCACAACCUUGUAGCAGCACAGUUUGCCUUUCCCAGUGGUUCAAGGAGUUCCAAGCACCCUCUUGUAAAUCAUCGGCUCACAUCUAUUUAUUAUCUUCCAGCCCAGUGCACAACACUAUCUGUUACACACGGAUACUGGCAAUAUUACAAGGUGGACUCCAGGGAUAAGAGACAGCCAACCCCACACACCUCCCACGCCUGAGUCAUGCCCAGGGUAACGCCAGGUCCUGCUCAUACCCGCUGUCGGCAGAAAUGAAACAGUACAAGCUGUUGUGUUUCAGAGUCUUUUUUAAUUGAUUCUCCAGAAUGCUAGAUCCUACCUGCUGAUAUCCUCAUGUUUGUUAUAAAGAGGCAUGGUCUAUCUGCAUAGCAAUGGAUGAAAUGCCUGUGAAAAUAUUGCUGUUCAUUUAAUCGAUGUCGGAGCUGGAGUAGGCACCAGCUACACCCUGCAAGGCUUGUCCUGGAAUAUCAAUAAAUAAAUCAUAAAAGCCAAUGCUUCAAAUAUUGAAAAAUCCACACUUCAAACUGUGUUUUGAACUAUACUGAGAGCCAUGUCUCAGAUUGUCCUUUUGCUUUAUAUGAACAGAGGAAAUUCAAAGUAGGACGAACUCUCUCUGGGGAUUUGGUGUAGGGGAGUGCCACAAACCAUCAGCCUUCCUGUCUCUGCCAUGCCAGAGAGGCCUCUCCUGGGACGUGCCAUGAGGAGCAGACAGCACAUCUGGGGAGCUAAUGUGGCUUCAGAUGAAAUUAUCUUCUUCAGAAUCCAUCUUGGCUGACAGCAGCGUGCACGCGAAGGAGCCAGUCAGUGGCGGGGAGCCAGGUCACAGCAGGGCAGGUGAAGGCUCAGAGGAAAGUAGCACCUCCCUGUGACUGUCUGGGUGAAAUGAAGUUCCUUGCCACAUGGAUGGUGUCAAUCAAAUGGGGCAUCUUUUUAUCCUUCUAUUCAGAGCCCAUAUUUGGUAAAAGCAACCUCGUUGAAGCCCCCAGCCCUGCUGCCCUCUUGCAGUGCUCUCUCACUUCAAGUCCUGUCUUAUAGAGUGCUGCAUGAUGUGCUGUGCAUGUCAGCCGUGCAAGGAAGGGUGAGGACAGUUGUGCUCUGAAAG
Coturnix japonica (Japanese quail) is the source of this 3520-nucleotide non-coding RNA. The record is from RefSeq and is a predicted model, not a curated record. NCBI's taxonomy places the organism in Eukaryota, Metazoa, Chordata, Aves, Galliformes, Phasianidae.